This is a long non-coding RNA of Cydia splendana, 423 nucleotides long. RefSeq lists it as uncharacterized. The record is from RefSeq and is a predicted model, not a curated record. The transcript has 2 exons. Lineage: Eukaryota; Metazoa; Arthropoda; Insecta; Lepidoptera; Tortricidae.
AGGGUUCCGUAGCCAAUUGGCAAAUAACGGAACCCUUAUGGAUUCGUCAUGUCUGUCUGUCCGUUCGUAUGUCACAGCCACUUUUUUCCGAAACUAUAAGAACUAUACUGUUGAAACUUGGUAAGUUAAUGUAUUCUGUGAACCGCAUUAAAGUUUUCAAACAAAAAUAGAAAAAAAAAACAAUAAAUUUUGGGGGUCUUCAAAAAUGAUAUUGAGGUUUUUAAUAUCAGUUUUUUUCUAAACUGAAUGGUUUGCGCGAGAGACACUUCCAAAGUGGUAAAAUGUGUUCUCCCCCCUGUAACUUCUAAAAUAAGAGAAUGAUAAAACUAAAAAAAAUAUAUGAUGUACAUUACCAUGCAAACUUCCACCGAAAAUUGGUUUAAACGAGAUCUAGUAAGUAGAUUUUUUUUAAUACGUCAUAAA